Long non-coding RNA from Balaenoptera acutorostrata (minke whale), 396 nucleotides. RefSeq lists it as uncharacterized. The record is from RefSeq and is a predicted model, not a curated record. NCBI's taxonomy places the organism in Eukaryota, Metazoa, Chordata, Mammalia, Artiodactyla, Balaenopteridae. The transcript is spliced from 3 exons.
GCCGCGGCCCCUCCCGCUUCUGGCUCAGCCCUUCCCACCGAGUCGGUCGGCCUUGACUUCCCGCCAUGCUCCCCGUUUCCUCCCAACAGUCCUGGGGUCUUUCCAGUCCGUCAUCUUCGGCUGCUUUCGUCCCAGAAGACUGCCAGAAUCCCUCAAAGAAAUUGGAUGUUCUUCGUGCUUAUACUCCCCAUACGGUAGAUGAAGACCAGGAGGUCACAGAGAUGAAGCGUCAAGCCCAGGCCAGGCGAAGACUCAGGAAUCCGGUGUGCCGACUCAGCUGAGGACAGCAGUGAAGCCUCUUUGCUCUGAGGCAUGUGGGAUCUUAGCUCCCCAGCCAGAAAUCGAACCUGCACCCACUGCAUUGGAAGGCGAAGUCUUAACCACUGGACUGCCAGG